This is a non-coding RNA of Triticum aestivum (bread wheat), 125 nucleotides long. Lineage: Eukaryota; Viridiplantae; Streptophyta; Magnoliopsida; Poales; Poaceae. The record is from Rfam.
AUAGUACUCCCUCCGUCCGGAAAUACUUGUCGUAAAAAUGGAUAUAAAUGGAUGUAUCUAGAACUAAAAUACAUCUAGAUACAUCCAUUCUUCGGACAAGUAUUUCCGGACGGAAUGAGUACAUG